RNAcentral lists this ribosomal RNA (253 nucleotides) under uncultured bacterium. RNAcentral describes it as "partial 16S ribosomal RNA". It matches the Rfam family "Bacterial small subunit ribosomal RNA", at positions 524 to 776 of the family's 1533-position model. The record is from RNAcentral.
GACAGAGGUGCCAAGCGUUAGGCGGAAUCACUGGGCUUAAAGCGUGUGUAGGCGGGUGCCUAAGUACCUCGUGAAAUCCCCCGGCUCAACCGGGGAACGGCUGGGUAUACUGGGUGCCUUGGGUCAUCUAGGGGCUGCCGGAACAAAUGGUGGAGCGGUGAAAUGCGUAGAUAUCAUUUGGAACGCCAACGGCGAAAGCAGGCAGCUGGGGAUGCACCGACGCUGAGACACGAAAGCCAGGGGAGCGAACGGG